UUGUAGCCCCGAUAGAAGUGAAAAGCCUUUUGCAGGAUUGUUGCAUUUUUUCUUGGUAAAAAAGAGCGACCUUGGGAGCUACUUUUUUGCCUUAGAAAAAAGCAACAAGACAAAAAAGCUUGUAACGGAUAGCGGGAAAUAGC
This 143-nucleotide small RNA is filed under the name Flavobacterium lacus. RNAcentral describes it as "Flavo-1 RNA". It matches the Rfam family "Flavo-1 RNA". Lineage: Bacteria; Pseudomonadati; Bacteroidota; Flavobacteriia; Flavobacteriales; Flavobacteriaceae. The record is from RNAcentral.